UACGGAGGGUGCAAGCGUUAAUCGGAUGUACUGGGCGUAAAGCGGGCGUAGGCGGCUUUUUAAGUCGGAUGUGAAAUCCCCGAGCUUAACUUGGGAAUUGCAUUCGAUACUGGGAAGCUAGAGUAUGGGAGAGGAUGGUAGAAUUCCAGGUGUAGCGGUGAAAUGCGUAGAGAUCUGGAGGCCUACCGAUGGCGAAGGCAGCCAUCUGGCCUAAUACUGACGCUGAGGUACGAAAGCAUGGGGAGCAAACCGC
This 253-nucleotide unclassified non-coding RNA is filed under the name uncultured bacterium. Its description in RNAcentral is "contains 16S-23S intergenic spacer region". It matches the Rfam family "Bacterial small subunit ribosomal RNA", at positions 524 to 776 of the family's 1533-position model. The record is from RNAcentral.